RNAcentral lists this transfer RNA (87 nucleotides) under Omnitrophica WOR_2 bacterium RIFCSPHIGHO2_01_FULL_48_9. Its description in RNAcentral is "tRNA-Ser". It matches the Rfam family "tRNA". Rfam says of the family: Transfer RNA (tRNA) molecules are approximately 80 nucleotides in length. Lineage: Bacteria; Pseudomonadati; Candidatus Omnitrophota. The record is from RNAcentral.
GGAGAGGUGGCAGAGUGGUUGAAUGCAGUUGCCUGCUAAGCAGUUAACUGCGUAAGCGGUUCUCGGGUUCGAAUCCCGACCUCUCCG